GCCAAGUUUCAGAGCUACCAAAGUUUUUUUCUCUUUGCUGCAUGGAUAUCAGCCCCAUAGAUCUUUGAUGGGUUAAACUAAUGCAAAUGUAAACACUUCUGGUAAACAUCUUUUUUUUUUUCUUUUUCUUGCCUGUUGUUUCUAGAGAAUUGCUGUGGUCAACCAACCUCUCCCUAAUCCAAAAGGAUGAGAAAGAAAGAAUAUUCUAGUGAUGCUGCAUGACUGCGAAACAUACAAGCAAAGCCAGAAGAAAUGCACAAGGAAUCAGAGACAGUCAAGGAAGGAGACCAAACUAUUAAUGGACAGUUUCAAGGCCAAACAAAAUGUAAAGACAUAAAUUUUCACAGUAGUUCAAAAUCAUAAGCUCUUCAGGACAAGAAACCAUUCUUUUGUUAGAAUAUAUUUAUGCUGUAAUUAUGUAGUUUAGGUAUUCUAUAUGUUCAGCUUCAGUAUAUCACAUAUCCUUUCUGUAACUGUAUUUCUAUUACAUCAAUAUAUAACAUCUCUUAAAUUGGGUCUCUCAUCCAUGAAUAGAAAUUCAAAAGCUUUCAACUAUACAGCAGAUAGGCUUAGAGAAAAUGAGAGAAGAGGGAGAAAAAUGCAUCCUGCAUACACUAGCUGACAAAUUUCUAAAUUAUACAAUGUUUGAAUUUAUCCCUAUCUAAAGACUGUUCAGUUUACGAUAGUUAUGAAAUUGAUUUGAAAAUAUUUUGUGCUAUCAUUUAAGCUCAUCUAAAGAAACGAACUGUUGAAUGUCUUUGUUGCUCCAGAAUCUACUGGAUUUCUAGGGAUACUUCAUAAAGACAUUGAAAAGUGCGUGUGGUGCAGCUCAACAUUUAAGAAGUUCUAUGCGGACCUGUAGAUAUCCUGUAUGUCAAAGAAGAACUCCAGAGAUCUAAGUGCAUUGUAACCCAAAACAGCAAUGAGUGAGCUAAAAAUGAGUAAAGAGUGACACAUUUAAUUUGAAGCCCUGUUGUGCAGUGCCACUGAACCAACUGCUGCAAACAACAGGUCUGGCACUUGGGUCCUUCAGAUAUCCAAGAUCUGCCUACCUACUCAAUGAGGCCCAAGACAUGUUCAAAUCAGAGAAAAAUGUGACAUUUAAACAUAUGAAUGGCAUAAUAAAACCUGCUAUUGCACCACUAGGAUGCUUGUUUUCUGUUACUAAUAACCAGCUCAACCUGUAUAUUUGUAGAGUUACAUGCCCUCCUAGAUCUUAAUAUAACUUGUCCCAUUCAGAUAGGAAUCAGCCAGUUGCUUUUUUCAUUAUUCUCUCCUGAAACAAAACUUCACUGCAGAGACAUGAACGUUAUAGUCUCAAGGUUAGUAUAAACAUGCGAAGUCAGACUUCAGUCAACUGACCCAAUGGGAAAUCGCUAUUGGGAUAGUUCUCUCUCUGGAAGACGGAUCAGGAAAUACUGUACCCUUGUUCUGCUCUUUAUUCUUCUCUAAGGAUUCUGUUCACUGCUCCUAAAGAAAAUAUAUUGAGCUAUAUGGAUAAAGGGUACUGAAAGCACAUCAACAGUCUUCUCUCUUUAAUAACUUUGUUUUCUUGCUAUACAGUAGAAUAGCAUAAAUGGUUCUCUUUUAAAAAUCUUACUAUCUUAAAGUGCAUCUGUAUGUUUUGGGAAAAGAAUAAACCUUGAGACAACAAGGAC
This is a long non-coding RNA of Gallus gallus (chicken), 1658 nucleotides long. RefSeq lists it as uncharacterized. Lineage: Eukaryota; Metazoa; Chordata; Aves; Galliformes; Phasianidae. The transcript is spliced from 4 exons. The record is from RefSeq and is a predicted model, not a curated record.